RNAcentral lists this ribosomal RNA (253 nucleotides) under uncultured bacterium. RNAcentral's name for it is "partial 16S ribosomal RNA". It matches the Rfam family "Bacterial small subunit ribosomal RNA", at positions 524 to 776 of the family's 1533-position model. The record is from RNAcentral.
UACGUAGGGUGCAAGCGUUGUCCGGAAUUAUUGGGCGUAAAGAGCUCGUAGGCGGUCUGUCGCGUCUGCUGUGAAAACUCGGGGCUCAACUCCGAGCUUGCAGUGGGUACGGGCAGACUAGAGUGCGGUAGGGGAGACUGGAAUUCCUGGUGUAGCGGUGGAAUGCGCAGAUAUCAGGAGGAACACCGGUGGCGAAGGCGGGUCUCUGGGCCGUAACUGACGCUGAGGAGCGAAAGCAUGGGGAGCGAACAGG